CAUUGCGCUCCAAAAGGCGUCUCCCGUUGCUAAGCAGCAUGGCCUGCGCUCUCCAUGAAGAAGCGGAAAUUUCAGCAAAGGAUAAAUGGAUUUGACUAAAAGUCGCUUGCAGUAGCUCUGUUAUUGAAUUUAUCUAAAAUGGCUAUCCAUAUACAGCUAAGCUGUUCCUUCAUCUUGGCUGAGCUUUCAGUGUUGCUACAGGAAAGGAUGAAGCUGAUUGGUUGCUUCUUGUCACUUGACCCGCGGUGCGCUUGCAGCAUUCUGAAAAGUUGAAAUGUUUUUGAUGCGGCUCGGACGCGCCUGCCGCUCGUCUACUUUUGAAAUAACGAACUUGAGCGCACGAAAGACGCGAUAUGUGAACGGCCCCUACAUUCGUUUGAUUGCGGUUCUGGGACAGUUUAGAGCGCGCGCGUCCCUUACGAGCCGCCGUCGUUUAUAUUAGGCGCGCUUUUCCAAUCUUUUCCUCCUGAAUCAGAGCAAUGUGGUUUUAUUGCAACACUUUGCACGCUUGAAGUUUAGAAACGGACAGUGCGGACAGUUUCAUGUCAGAUUGACCCUGUGCUGUUUCCAAAACCCGGAUGUAAAUGAGAAGACAAGGGAGUACCUUACAACUAAAUGACUGAUAAAGGAACUGUUAAUACCCUUUUUUUCCCUGGAUACCAAGUAAUAUCCAUCAGCAUGGAGAGGUCUUAAUGGCAAGCACCAGGCCCAUGCUGGACUCUUAACCCCACAUUCUUCACUGGGCCACAGCAGUAAUGGGGAUCAUUCGGAAUUGGUCCAUGGCAGGAGAACGAAGGCUUAUCAUUGAUCCACCAUCUCCCCUCCCGCGCCACUCCCACUUCAAAGCCACAUAAUGAGAAUAACCUGUGCCAGCCAGCCAGGGAAGUCUUUAGUAAGAAUUAUAGAUUGAGGUAAAGGAGAGGAAAUGCAUAGAAGCAGGAGGUUUAAAUGAGCUCUGUGGUGAUCAAGAAGCUCAGGAGAUGCACAGUGAAAGCAGGAAGACCGGGAAGAUGCAUUGGCUCGGCAGAGGCUCAGUGGAGGUCUGGAAAAGACCUUGCACAAAGCUCUUCCCUUACAUUAGAUUAGCCUUGUUCAGACACCCACUGAGCCCCUCUUGUCAACCCCCUGCUCAGCCCCCAGAGAGAGGUGUUUGCUAUUAGCCACUGACCUCCAUCCAUUCAGACUUGCUGAGUCUCUGCUCCUGACUUUAGAUCUGCCACACUAAUCAAAAACAACUCAGCCUCUCAAUCCUGGCAUUUUCUUUCUUCAGACAAGUAUUAGGAGGUGGACCCUAAUAUGGGGGUUUCAGGAUAUUGAUAAUAAUUGAAUAGCAUUAAAUAGGAUCAACGUUAUAGACAUUCCUGACCUCAAUUCAAAAUGUCAAUACACACCUAAAACGAUGGGGUUGGGGAUUUAUAUAGGAAGAUUAAAUGGACUUCCAGUUAUUAUUUGACAUUCUAGAGGAAUGUAAUGAGUACAUGUGAAAAAGAAAGAGAAUGAUUUAGUACACGUCCUGUGUUGGGGCUAACUUUACAAUCAUUAUUUAUCACUCUGAUGCAGUGGUUCCCAAUCCUGGUCCUGGAGUUCCCCCUUUAGGUUUGGAAACCACUGCUCUGAUGGACUAAGUUGUAAAAUUUCCAUCUCUUGUUAUUUAUUUAUUUAUUUAUUUUAUUAUUGUUUUCAUUUUCCUAAUCAUUAUGGAUGUUUUGAAUUUUGAUAUUGCUAAU
Molecule: long non-coding RNA, 1727 nt
Organism: Cyprinus carpio carpio
Lineage: Eukaryota; Metazoa; Chordata; Actinopteri; Cypriniformes; Cyprinidae
Source: Ensembl